GAACGCGCGGUUGUAGCAAUACAGCUGGCGCGUGGCGAACGGGUGCGUAACACGUGGAUAACCUUCCUUGAGGUGGGGAAUAACCCAGUGAAAAUUGGGCUAAUACCGCAUAACAAGACGACGGCACAUGCUGUGGUCUUCAAAGGAGCAAUUCGCCACAAGAGGGAUCCGCGGCCGAUUAGCUAGUUGGCGAGGUAACGGCUCACCAAGGCAAUGAUCGGUAGCCGGUCUGAGAGGAUGAUCGGCCACACUGGAACUGAGACACGGUCCAGACUCCUACGGGAGGCAGCAGUGGGGAAUCUUGCACAAUGGGCGAAAGCCUGAUGCAGCAACGCCGCGUGGGGGAUGAAGCUUCUCGGAGUGUAAACCCCUUUCGACCCGGACGAAUGCCCGCAAGGGUUUGACGGUACGGGUAUAAGAAGCCCCGGCUAACUACGUG
RNAcentral lists this ribosomal RNA (439 nucleotides) under uncultured bacterium. RNAcentral describes it as "bacterial SSU rRNA". It matches the Rfam family "Bacterial small subunit ribosomal RNA", at positions 64 to 507 of the family's 1533-position model. The record is from RNAcentral.